This 71-nucleotide transfer RNA is filed under the name Marmota monax (woodchuck). It matches the Rfam family "tRNA". From Rfam's summary of the family: Transfer RNA (tRNA) molecules are approximately 80 nucleotides in length. Their secondary structure includes four short double-helical elements and three loops (D, anti-codon, and T loops). The record is from Rfam by way of RNAcentral. Lineage: Eukaryota; Metazoa; Chordata; Mammalia; Rodentia; Sciuridae.
GGGGUUAUAGCUCAGUGGUAGAGCGCGUACCUGGCAUGUGUGAGGCCCUGGGUUUGAUUCUCAGAGCCACA